Molecule: ribosomal RNA, 248 nt
Filed under: uncultured bacterium
Lineage: Bacteria
Description: partial 16S ribosomal RNA
Rfam family: Archaeal small subunit ribosomal RNA
Source: RNAcentral
ACACCGGCGGCCCGAGUGGUGAUCGUGAUUAUUGGGUCUAAAGGGUCCGUAGCCGGUUUGGUCAGUCCUCCGGGAAAUCUGACAGCUCAACUGUUAGGCUUUCGGAGGAUACUGCCAGACUUGGAACCGGGAGAGGUAAGAGGUACUACAGGGGUAGGAGUGAAAUCUUGUAAUCCCUGUGGGACCACCUGUGGCGAAGGCGUCUUACCAGAACGGGUUCGACGGUGAGGGACGAAAGCGUGGGGAGC